RNAcentral lists this ribosomal RNA (481 nucleotides) under uncultured bacterium. RNAcentral describes it as "partial 16S ribosomal RNA". It matches the Rfam family "Bacterial small subunit ribosomal RNA", at positions 28 to 507 of the family's 1533-position model. The record is from RNAcentral.
GAUGAACGCUGGCGGCGUGCUUAACACAUGCAAGUCGAACGAAGCACUUUAUUUGAUUUCCUUCGGGACUGAUUAUUUUGUGACUGAGUGGCGGACGGGUGAGUAACGCGUGGGUAACCUGCCUUGUACAGGGGGAUAACAGUUGGAAACGGCUGCUAAUACCGCAUAAGCGCACAGCAUCGCAUGAUGCAGUGUGAAAAACUCCGGUGGUAUAAGAUGGACCCGCGUUGGAUUAGCUAGUUGGUGAGGUAACGGCCCACCAAGGCGACGAUCCAUAGCCGACCUGAGAGGAUGACCGGCCACAUUGGGACUGAGACACGGCCCAAACUCCUACGGGAGGCAGCAGUGGGGAAUAUUGCACAAUGGGCGAAAGCCUGAUGCAGCGACGCCGCGUGAGCGAAGAAGUAUUUCGGUAUGUAAAGCUCUAUCAGCAGGGAAGAUAAUGACGGUACCUGACUAAGAAGCACCGGCUAAAUACGUG